RNAcentral lists this ribosomal RNA (497 nucleotides) under uncultured bacterium. RNAcentral's name for it is "partial 16S ribosomal RNA". It matches the Rfam family "Bacterial small subunit ribosomal RNA", at positions 28 to 507 of the family's 1533-position model. The record is from RNAcentral.
GAUGAACGCUGGCGGCGUGCCUAAUACAUGCAAGUCGAGCGAACGGAUGAGGAGCUUGCUCCCCGGACGUGACGGGCGGACGGGUGAGUAACCGGUGGAUACCCUACCUUAAGGACUGGGAUAACUUCGGGAAACCGGAGCUAAUACCGGAUAUGAUAUUGAACGGCAUGGUUCAUUGGUGAAAGCGGGUUUUGCGGUGACUAAUGGAGGGAUCCGCGCCGCAUUAGCUAGUUGGUAAGGUAACGGCUUACCAAGGCAACGAUGCGUAGCCGACCUGAGAGGGUGAUCGGCCACACUGGAACUGAGACACGGUCCAGACUCCUACGGGAGGCAGCAGUAGGGAAUCUUCCGCAAUGGGCGAAAGCCUGACGGAGCAACGCCGCGUGAGUGAUGAAGGUCUUCGGAUCGUAAAACUCUGUUAUUAGGGAAGAACAAAUGUGUAAGUAACUAUGCACGUCUUGACGGUACCUAAUCAGAAAGCCACGGCUAACUACGUG